Molecule: ribosomal RNA, 402 nt
Filed under: uncultured prokaryote
Description: bacterial SSU rRNA
Rfam family: Bacterial small subunit ribosomal RNA
Source: RNAcentral
UGGGGAAUAUUGCACAAUGGACGAAAGUCUGAUGCAGCAACGCCGCGUGGAGGAUGACACAUUUCGGUGCGUAAACUCCUUUUAUAUAGGAAGAUAAUGACGGUACUAUAUGAAUAAGCACCGGCUAACUCCGUGCCAGCAGCCGCGGUAAUACGGAGGGUGCAAGCGUUACUCGGAAUCACUGGGCGUAAAGAGCGUGUAGGCGGGUAUAUAAGUCAGACGUGAAAUCCAAUAGCUUAACGAUUGAACUGCGUUUGAAACUGUAUACCUAGAAUGUGGGAGAGGUAGAUGGAAUUUCUGGUGUAGGGGUAAAAUCCGUAGAGAUCAGAAGGAAUACCGAUUGCGAAGGCGAUCUACUGGAACAUUAUUGACGCUGAGACGCGAAAGCGUGGGGAGCAAACA